This 447-nucleotide ribosomal RNA is filed under the name uncultured bacterium. RNAcentral describes it as "bacterial SSU rRNA". It matches the Rfam family "Bacterial small subunit ribosomal RNA", at positions 330 to 792 of the family's 1533-position model. The record is from RNAcentral.
CCCAGACUCCUACGGGAGGCAGCAGUAGGGAAUAUUGCUCAAUGGGGGAAACCCUGAAGCAGCAACGCCGCGUGGAGGAUGAAGGUUUUCGGGUUGUAAACUUCUUUUGACAGGGAAGAGCAGAAGACGGUACCUGUCGAAUAAGCCACGGCUAACUACGUGCCAGCAGCCGCGGUAAUACGUAGGUGGCAAGCGUUGUCCGGAUUUACUGGGUGUAAAGGGCGUGUAGCCGGGCUGACAAGUCAGAUGUGAAAUCCGGGGGCUCAACCCCCGAACUGCAUUUGAAACUGUUGGUCUUGAGUAUCGGAGAGGCAGGCGGAAUUCCUAGUGUAGCGGUGAAAUGCGUAGAUAUUAGGAGGAACACCAGUGGCGAAGGCGGCCUGCUGGACGACAACUGACGGUGAGGCGCGAAAGCGUGGGGAGCAAACAGGAUUAGAUACCCUUGUA